GGAAACCACUCGCCUAACGAGUGGGCGUCCGGCGGAAACUACAGGGCUUGGGACCGGAAGACUUGAGGGGUACGUCUGGGGUAAGAGUGAAAUCCUGUAAUCCUGGACGGACCGCCGAUAGCGAAAGCACCUCAAGACGACGGAUCCGACAGUGAGGGACGAAAGCUAGGGUCUCGAACCGGAUUAGAUACCCGGGUAGU
RNAcentral lists this ribosomal RNA (200 nucleotides) under uncultured archaeon. RNAcentral describes it as "partial 16S ribosomal RNA". It matches the Rfam family "Archaeal small subunit ribosomal RNA", at positions 545 to 745 of the family's 1478-position model. The record is from RNAcentral.